AGCGAACGCUGGCGGCAGGCUUAACACAUGCAAGUCGAGCGGGCGUAGCAAUACGUCAGCGGCAGACGGGUGAGUAACGCGUGGGAACGUACCUUUUGGUUCGGAACAACCCAGGGAAACUUGGGCUAAUACCGGAUAAGCCCUUACGGGGAAAGAUUUAUCGCCGAAAGAUCGGCCCGCGUCUGAUUAGCUAGUUGGUGAGGUAAUGGCUCACCAAGGCGACGAUCAGUAGCUGGUCUGAGAGGAUGAUCAGCCACAUUGGGACUGAGACACGGCCCAAACUCCUACGGGAGGCAGCAGUGGGGAAUAUUGGACAAUGGGCGCAAGCCUGAUCCAGCCAUGCCGCGUGAGUGAUGAAGGCCCUAGGGUUGUAAAGCUCUUUUGUGCGGGAAGAUAAUGACGGUACCGCAAGAAUAAGCCCCGGCUAACUUCGUGCCAGCAGCCGCGGUAAUACGAAGGGGGCUAGCGUUGCUCGGAAUCACUGGGCGUAAAGGGUGCGUAGGCGGGUCUUUAAGUCAGGGGUGAAAUCCUGGAGCUCAACUCCAGAACUGCCUUUGAUACUGAAGAUCUUGAGUCCGGGAGAGGUGAGUGGAACUGCGAGUGUAGAGGUGAAAUUCGUAGAUAUUCGCAAGAACACCAGUGGCGAAGGCGGCUCACUGGCCCGGUACUGACGCUGAGGCACGAAA
This 686-nucleotide ribosomal RNA is filed under the name uncultured Alphaproteobacteria bacterium. Its description in RNAcentral is "bacterial SSU rRNA". It matches the Rfam family "Bacterial small subunit ribosomal RNA", at positions 28 to 758 of the family's 1533-position model. Lineage: Bacteria; Pseudomonadati; Pseudomonadota; Alphaproteobacteria. The record is from RNAcentral.